This 229-nucleotide ribosomal RNA is filed under the name uncultured bacterium. Its description in RNAcentral is "partial 16S ribosomal RNA". It matches the Rfam family "Bacterial small subunit ribosomal RNA", at positions 568 to 796 of the family's 1533-position model. The record is from RNAcentral.
UACGUAGGCGGAAAAUUAAGUCAGUAGUGAAAUCCUGCAGCUUAACUGUAGAACUGUUAUUGAUACUGGUUUUCUUGAAUAUAGUUGAGGUAGGCGGAAUGUGUAAUGUAGCGGUGAAAUGCUUAGAUAUUACACAGAACACCGAUUGCGAAGGCAGCUUACUAAGCUAUGAUUGACGCUGAGGUAAGAAAGCGUGGGGAGCGAACAGGAUUAGAUACCCUGGUAGUCC